UACGUAGGGUGCAAGCGUUAAUCGGAAUUACUGGGCGUAAAGCGUGCGCAGGCGGUUCGUUAAGUCAGCUGUGAAAGCCCCGGGCUUAACCUGGGAAUGGCGGUUGGAACUGGCGAACUUGAAUCUGGCAGAGGGGGGUGGAAUUCCACGUGUAGCAGUGAAAUGCGUAGAGAUGUGGAGGAACACCGAUGGCGAAGGCAGCCCCCUGGGCUGAGAUUGACGCUCAGGCACGAAAGCGUGGGGAGCAAACAGG
RNAcentral lists this ribosomal RNA (253 nucleotides) under uncultured bacterium. Its description in RNAcentral is "partial 16S ribosomal RNA". It matches the Rfam family "Bacterial small subunit ribosomal RNA", at positions 524 to 776 of the family's 1533-position model. The record is from RNAcentral.